This 483-nucleotide ribosomal RNA is filed under the name uncultured bacterium. RNAcentral's name for it is "partial 16S ribosomal RNA". It matches the Rfam family "Bacterial small subunit ribosomal RNA", at positions 30 to 507 of the family's 1533-position model. The record is from RNAcentral.
UUGAACGCUGGCGGCAUGCUUUACACAUGCAAGUCGAACGGUAACAGGGUGCUUGCACCGCUGACGAGUGGCGAACGGGUGAGUAAUGCAUCGGAAUGUACCGUGUAAUGGGGGAUAGCUCGGCGAAAGCCGGAUUAAUACCGCAUACGCCCUGAGGGGGAAAGUGGGGGACCGAAAGGCCUCACGUUAUACGAGCAGCCGAUGUCUGAUUAGCUAGUUGGUGAGGUAAAGGCUCACCAAGGCGUCGAUCAGUAGCGGGUCUGAGAGGAUGAUCCGCCACACUGGGACUGAGACACGGCCCAGACUCCUACGGGAGGCAGCAGUGGGGAAUUUUGGACAAUGGGCGCAGGCCUGAUCCAGCCAUGCCGCGUGUCUGAAGAAGGCCUUCGGGUUGUAAAGGACUUUUGUCCGGGAGCAAAUCCUAGUGGUUAAUACCUACUGGGGCUGAGAGUACCGGAAGAAUAAGCACCGGCUAACUACGUG